This 26-nucleotide non-coding RNA is filed under the name Homo sapiens (human). The record is from RNAcentral. Lineage: Eukaryota; Metazoa; Chordata; Mammalia; Primates; Hominidae.
UUGGCGGUAGAUGUUCAUGGUGAUCC